Molecule: ribosomal RNA, 301 nt
Filed under: uncultured bacterium
Lineage: Bacteria
Description: partial 16S ribosomal RNA
Rfam family: Bacterial small subunit ribosomal RNA
Source: RNAcentral
CAGUCGCCACGGUAAUACGUAGGGUGCAAGCGUUAAUCGGAAUUACUGGGCGUAAAGCGUGCGCAGGCGGUUAUAUAAGACAGAUGUUAAAUCCCCGGGCUCAACCUGGGAACUGCAUUUGUGACUGUAUAGCUAGAGUACGGCAGAGGGGUAUGGAAUUCCGCGUGUAGCAGUGAAAUGCGUAGAUAUGCGGAGGAACACCGAUGGCGAAGGCAAUCCCCUGGGCCUGUACUGACGCUCAUGCACGAAAGCGUGGGGAGCAAACAGGAUUAGAUACCCCUGUAGUCCCUGUCUCUUAUAC